RNAcentral lists this long non-coding RNA (2169 nucleotides) under Sus scrofa (pig). Its description in RNAcentral is "lncRNA (ENSSSCG00035048613.1)". Lineage: Eukaryota; Metazoa; Chordata; Mammalia; Artiodactyla; Suidae. The record is from RNAcentral.
CACUGUACAGCAUGGGGACCAAGUUACUCUUACAUGUAUACAUUUUUUCCCAGCCUUUGUUCUGUUGAAAUAUAAGUACCUAGACAUAGUUCUCGAUGCUACUCAGCAGGAUCUCCAUGUAAAUCCAUUCCAAGUUGUAUCUGAUAACCCCAAGUUCCCGAUCCCUCCCACUCCCUCCCUCUCCCAUCGGGCAGCCACAAGUCUAUUCUCCAAGUCCAUGAUUUUUGUGCCAGUACCAUGCUGUCUUGAUUACUAUAGCUUUGUAGUAUAGUCAGAUGUCAGGGAGCAUGACACCUCCAGCUUUGUUCUUUUACUGAAGGUUGAUUUGGCAAUUUGUGACCUUUUUUGGUUCUACGUAAGUUUUAGGAUUUUUUGUUGUAGUUCUGUGGAAAAAUGGCAUGGUGUUUUGAUAGGAACUGCAUUACAGUUGUAGAUUGCUUUUGAUAGCCUGGAUAUUUAAACACUAUUCAUUCUUCCAAUCCAAGAACACAUGUAUCUUCCCAUUUCUUUGAAUCAUUUUCAGACUCCUUCAUGAGUGUGGUAUAGUUUUCAGAGUAUAGGUCUUUUACUUCCUUGGUUAAGUUUAUUCCUAGGUAUUUUAUUAUUUGAUACAAUUUUAAACCAGAGUGUUUUUUAAAUUUUCUCUUUAUGAUAUUUCAAUAUUGGUGUAAGAAAACUCAACAUAUUUCUGUAUAUUAAUCUUGUAUCCUGCUAACUUGCCAAAUUCACUUAUUAGUUCUAAUAAUUUCUGUGUGGAAACUUUAGGGUUCUCUAUACAGACCUUGGGUUCUCUUUAUAUAUAUUAUGUCAUCUGCAAACAGUGACAGUUUUACUUCUUCUGUUCCAAUAUGAAUGACAUUUCUUUUUCUUGUCUGGACUUCCAAUACUAUAUUAAAUAGAAGUUACAAGAGUGGGCAUCCUUGUCUUGUUCCUGAAUUUAGAGGAAAGACUUUCAGCUUUCCACCACUGAGUAUAAUAUUAGCUAUUAGUUUGUCAUAAAUGGCCUUUAUUAUAUUGAGAGAUAUUCCUUACAUAACAACAUUGAUGAGGAUUUUUAUCAUGAAUGGAAGGUGAAUUCUGUCAAAUUCUUUGUCUGCAUCCAUUGAGAUGAUCAUGUGAUUUUUAUUCUUUCUUUUGUUAAAGUAGUGUAUCACGCUGUGUGAUUUUUUUCAUUUUUUAAAGUUUUAUUGAAGUAUAGUUGAUUUACAAUGUUGUGACAAUUUCCACUGUACAACAAAGUGAUCCAGUCAUACAUGUACACACAUUCAUUCUCUUUCAGAUUCCUUUCCUACACUGAUUGAUUUUUGGAUACUGAACCGUCCUUGCACCCACAGAAUAACUCCCACUUGAUCAUGGCGUAUGAUCCUUUUACAUAUUGUUGGAUUUUGUUUGCUAAUAUUUAACUGAGCAUUUUUGCAUCUAUAUUCAUCAGAGAUAUUAGCCUGCAACUUUUUGUAUUGUGUCUUUUUCGGUUUUGGUAUCAUAGUACUGGUGGACUCAGAGAAUGAAUUUGGGUUGUUCUGUCUCCUUAAGUUUUUUGGAAUACUUUUGGGAAGGAUAAGUAUUAGUUCUUCACAUUGGUAAAUAUUCUGGUAAAAUUCUCCUGUGAAUCCAUCCAAUCCUGGACUUUUGUUUGCUGGAAGGUCUUUAAUUACUGAUUCAAUGUCAGUACUGGCAAUAGGUCUGUUCAUAUUGUUUAUUUCUUCCUGAUUCUGUCUUCACAAAGUUGUGUGUUUCUAGAAAUUUGUCUGUUUCUUCAAGGUUGUCCAAUUUGUUGGCAUAUAAUUGUUCAUAGUAUUAUUUCAUGAUUUUUCAUAUCUCUGUGGUAUUGGUUAUUCCUCCUCUUUCAUUAUUUUUUUAUUUGGAUCAUCUCUUUUUUCUUCUUGAUGAUCCUGACUGAAGGUUUAUCAAUUUUGUUUAUCUUUUCAAAAAACCAAAUCUUGGUUUCAUUGAUCUUUUCUAUUUGUUUUCUUUUAGUCUCUAUUUAUUCCUCUUUGACCUUUAUUAUUUCCUUAAUUCUGCUGACUUUGGGCUUUAUUUGCGCUUAUUUUUAUAAUUUUGCUAGAUAGGCAGGUUAGCUUGUUUGAGAUCCUUCUUGUUUCUUGAGGUAGACUUUCACAGCUAUAAAGUUCCCUCUUAGAUCUGCUUUUGCUGCAUCCCAUAGAUUUU